CAGCAGCCGCCGCGGUAAUACAGAGGGUGCGAGCGUUAAUCGGAUUUACUGGGUGUAAAGCGUGCGUAGGCGGCUUCUUAAGUCGGAUGUGAAAUCCCUGAGCUUAACUUAGGAAUUGCAUUCGAUACUGGGAAGCUAGAGUAUGGGAGAGGAUGGUAGAAUUCCAGGUGUAGCGGUGAAAUGCGUAGAGAUCUGGAGGAAUACCGAUGGCGAAGGCAGCCAUCUGGCCUAAUACUGACGCUGAGGUACGAAAGCAUGGGGAGCAAACAGGAUUAGAUACCCCCGUAGUCCCUGUCUCUUAUAC
RNAcentral lists this ribosomal RNA (304 nucleotides) under uncultured bacterium. RNAcentral describes it as "partial 16S ribosomal RNA". It matches the Rfam family "Bacterial small subunit ribosomal RNA", at positions 506 to 807 of the family's 1533-position model. The record is from RNAcentral.